AGAGGUUUUGGGUGGGAGCUGUGCUAUGCAGCCAGAUUUGAACUUGUGCUCUGACUUCCUAGCUUGACCUGAGCCUGCCUCAUCAUCACCACAGUCCUGCCUUAAGACCUGGAUUCUUCAUUGGACCUAGUCACCAUCUCUGGAUUGUACCUACAGGCCAACAGGGUGGCAUCAGAGAAAUAGCUGACCAACCAGUUUCUCCUCCAGCUGGAGCAACCUGCAAUGGCCAAAGUUGUGAGUCAGCAGGCCUUUAAAAAUAUUCCGCGUGGAGAAGGAUAUUGGGAAGGCAUUUCCUGUGAGGUCCUGACCUUCGGUUUCCUUUCGCGCUCUGAUUGUCACUCGGGUUUCCCCUCGCUUUCCCGCCGAGCCCGCCCCGUCCCGCCGCGGCUCCUGAGGCGGGCGGGGCGCUGGCGCCCCCUGGUGGCCGGCGGCCGGGGCGCCCUCACCCGGCCCGCGCUCUUUCCCCUCAGGAAAAAGGCCGCGAGCGGUGCCAAAGGAGCUUUCAUUCGGAUAUUGGAGUGGGGAAAUUCUUCACCGAAAGGGUAGCGAAGAGCUGGGACAGGCUGCCCAGGGAAGGGUUUGAUUUGCCGACCAUCGCAGUGUUACAGAAACUUGUAGAUGUGGCGCUAAGCGUGCCGUAAAAUUCACUACGCCGGGGGUUUAUGUCCGAAAGGGAGAUGGAGGAGUUCUGUAACUUUAUUAGAAUAAAGGGAGAGGUCAUGAGGUCUCUCAAAUUGUUGGGGUAUGCAGGCCCCUUUUUUCCUAAUUUCCCAGACACAUCACCCUCUUUCUUUCCCCAUUGGCUCAGGUACAUGGAAUGUACAGGUUUCCCAAAUCUCCUGCUCUAUGCCCCCCUCUAGUAUGCAAACCCCCACACACACUUUUCUUUCCCCCUUUUAUAACAAAACGCUAUUUGUAACUCUAUUAAGUCUUCAUUCUUUUUCUCUAGGUUCAGGAAUUUUACUCAGCCUUGGCUAAGCAGCAGUCUGUGUCUAUUAGCAGCAUUUUCUAGAACUGACAGUUUCUUCCAUUACUUCCCUGUGUGUAAGUUCCUGGCCCUAUCUACAAGCAGAUUCCCAUGGUUUGUUUGUAAUACAUGCAUCUUAUUCAUUUCAUUCGGGACAUGGUUUGGUGGUGGGGCUGUCAGUGCAAGGUUACUGGUUGGACUCCAUGAUCUGGGAUGUCUUUUCCAACCUUACUGAUUCUAUGACCAGAAGGUGACCAGAACUGCUGUGUUUCUGGCAGCUCUGCUGUCCUUCCUCUCCUGGCUUUGGCAGCCCUGCAAGGAGAACCUUGCUGAGCUGAACUCCCUGCCCCUUCUGGAAACUUUCCUGAAGUUUCCUCCACAGGACAGUUGUGCUCAUCCUGCUCCAAAGCACCUGAUUUCUUAAGUGCCAUUUAGCUAAAAAUUGGUGGGGCCGAGAAGGUCCCCAGGUAAAUCACCCAUGUAGGCAAAGUGAGAAACUGAACUAUUUCCUUUCCCUCCCAAAAGAUUUGAAAAGGGAUAAAUGAACUGUAUGACACACAAGCCUUUUUCUUUCAGGCUAACUGGAAAAUCUGCCCGCUUCAGACAUUUUCCCACAGUUGUGUGGUCAGGUGUUUCUGUUCAGCUGGGGUCCAACAGAUUGUCCUAUAUGGGAAUAGGGCUUUGUGAAAAGAAGUCCCAUAGGAGCUUGUCCUGUUUCCAAAGAAAGGAAAUAUGCGGAUCCUUUGUCU
This is a long non-coding RNA of Hirundo rustica (Barn swallow), 1716 nucleotides long. RefSeq lists it as uncharacterized. Lineage: Eukaryota; Metazoa; Chordata; Aves; Passeriformes; Hirundinidae. The transcript has 3 exons. The record is from RefSeq and is a predicted model, not a curated record.